CACGUAGGGGGCAAGCGUUGUCCGGAUUCAUUGGGCGUAAAGAGCUCGUAGGCGGUUCGAUAAGUCGGGUGUGAAACCUCCAGGCUCAACCUGGAGACGCCACCCGAUACUGUCGUGACUAGAGUCCAGUAGGGGAGCGUGGAAUUCCUGGUGUAGCGGUGAAAUGCGCAGAUAUCAGGAGGAACACCAGUGGCGAAGGCGGCUCACUGGCCCGGUACUGACGCUGAGGUGCGAAAGCGUGGGGAGCAAACAGG
This 254-nucleotide ribosomal RNA is filed under the name uncultured bacterium. RNAcentral describes it as "partial 16S ribosomal RNA". It matches the Rfam family "Bacterial small subunit ribosomal RNA", at positions 524 to 776 of the family's 1533-position model. The record is from RNAcentral.